UUUAUGGAGAGUUUGAUCCUGGCUCAGGAUGAACGCUGGCGGCGUGCCUAAUACAUGCAAGUCGAGCGAACGGACGAGAAGCUUGCUUCUCUGAUGUUAGCGGCGGACGGGUGAGUAACACGUGGAUAACCUACCUAUAAGACUGGGAUAACUUCGGGAAACCGGAGCUAAUACCGGAUAAUAUUUUGAACCGCAUGGUUCAAAAGUGAAAGACGGUCUUGCUGUCACUUAUAGAUGGAUCCGCGCUGCAUUAGCUAGUUGGUAAGGCAACGGCUUACCAAGGCAACGAUGCAUAGCCGACCU
RNAcentral lists this ribosomal RNA (303 nucleotides) under Staphylococcus aureus. Its description in RNAcentral is "partial 16S ribosomal RNA". It matches the Rfam family "Bacterial small subunit ribosomal RNA", at positions 1 to 293 of the family's 1533-position model. The record is from RNAcentral. Lineage: Bacteria; Bacillati; Bacillota; Bacilli; Caryophanales; Staphylococcaceae.